AUACGUAGGUGGCAAGCGUUGUCCGGAAUUAUUGGGCGUAAAGCGCGCGCAGGCGGCCUUUUAAGUCUGAUGUGAAAGCCCACGGCUCAACCGUGGAGGGUCAUUGGAAACUGGAAGGCUUGAGUGCAGAAGAGAAGAGCGGAAUUCCACGUGUAGCGGUGAAAUGCGUAGAGAUGUGGAGGAACACCAGUGGCGAAGGCGGCUCUUUGGUCUGUAACUGACGCUGAGGCGCGAAAGCGUGGGGAGCGAACAGGA
This 255-nucleotide ribosomal RNA is filed under the name uncultured prokaryote. RNAcentral describes it as "partial 16S ribosomal RNA". It matches the Rfam family "Bacterial small subunit ribosomal RNA", at positions 523 to 777 of the family's 1533-position model. The record is from RNAcentral.